Molecule: long non-coding RNA, 397 nt
Filed under: Mus pahari (shrew mouse)
Lineage: Eukaryota; Metazoa; Chordata; Mammalia; Rodentia; Muridae
Description: lncRNA (MGP_PahariEiJ_G0005638.1)
Source: RNAcentral
AGGACUGGGUCAGUAUCUUAGAGAAGAAAUGAUCAUCUGGAUUACCUAGAAUGAACUAUGAGAACUGACAGUUGCAUCUGUUCUAACCAUUUGGAAGGGUAAACGUUCUGAUGAAGGAGUGAACAUUCAGCAGCCUCAUGAUGAUGUCCUUUCAUAUGUUUCUCCUAUGUACCUAUGGAAAUCUCAAUAAAUGUGGGGGAAGAGGCAAGAGGCAAGACCAUCAGAAGAAUCUAAAGUGGUCUUUCAGGGUGAGUCUAAACAGAGAAGAGAAGAGAAGAGAAGAGGGAGGGGAGGGGAGGGGAGGGGAGGGGAAGAAGCUCAGUGGAAAUCGUAGCAAAGUCAUAGCAAAGGAUAAUUGAAUUACACCUAUUAACAUGGGAAUAAAAGUUUUAAAUUA